AGAGUUUGAUCAUGGCUCAGGAUGAACGCUAGCUACAGGCUUAACACAUGCAAGGUCGAGGGGAAACGACAUCGAAAGCUUGCUUUUGAUGGUCGUCGACCGGCGCACGGGUGAGUAACGCGUAUCCAACCUGCCCACCACUUGGGGAUAACCUUGCGAAAGUAAGACUAAUACCCCAAUGAUAUCUCUAGAAGACAUCUGAAAGAGAUUAAAGAUUUAUCGGUGAUGGAUGGGGAUGCGUCUGAUUAGCUUGUUGGCGGGGUAACGGCCCACCAAGGCAACGAUCAGUAGGGGUUCUGAGACGGAAGGUCCCCCACAUUGGAACUGAGACACGGUACCAACUCCUACGGGAGGCAGCA
RNAcentral lists this ribosomal RNA (359 nucleotides) under uncultured bacterium. RNAcentral describes it as "bacterial SSU rRNA". It matches the Rfam family "Bacterial small subunit ribosomal RNA", at positions 8 to 353 of the family's 1533-position model. The record is from RNAcentral.